RNAcentral lists this long non-coding RNA (1355 nucleotides) under Chloebia gouldiae (Gouldian finch). Its description in RNAcentral is "Erythrura gouldiae (Gouldian finch) lncRNA (ENSEGOG00005010177.1)". Lineage: Eukaryota; Metazoa; Chordata; Aves; Passeriformes; Passeridae. The record is from RNAcentral.
AAAAACCACAGCAAACCAUGGGAAGAUCAUGGAAAACCCUUGAAAAAGCAUGGAAAACCAUAGAAAACCCAUGAAAACUCAUGGAAAAACCAUGGGAAAAUCAUGGGAAAACCAUGGAAAACCACGGAAAAACCACGAAAACUCACGGAAAACGAGGCAAAAACCCUGGAAAACAACGGAACGCCGCAGAAAACCACGGAAAGCCUCCGGAAAAUUCCCGGACUCACCCUGAGCUCGGCGUCCCAGAGCUUCCAGCCCCUCCGGAGGCGCUUGAGGCCGCGGCCGGCGCCGCCCUCGCCGAGGAUGUUGGGAGCGAAGAGCGACGGGAGGCGCCGGCCCGGCCCCCGCGCCGGGAACGCCGGGAAUGCCGGGAAUGCCGGGAAUGCCGGGAAUGCCGGGAAGCGCCGCUCCCGGCCCCAGCCCGGCCAGCCCCGCGCCCCAAAAUCCUCCCGGAAUUUGCCCUGGAAUUGCUGCUCCCGGGGCGGCUGCGGGCGGCCGUAGAAGUCGCCGGCGUCGGGCUCGGAUUCGCCGGGAUAAUCGUUGGGAUAAUCGUUGGGAUAAUCGGGAUAAUCGUUGGGAUAAUCGUUGGGAUAAUCGCCGGGAUAGUCGAAGGCAGCCCGGUACGGAUCCCGGUCGUUCACGCGGGAGUCGCUGUAGGAUUCGUAGGGAUCGUACCUGACGGGGUAAAUUUGGGAUUGGGAUUCCCUUUAUUCCCAAAAAAAGGGUCCCAGGAAUUGGGGAGCACCUUCUCCUCCCCCAUUCCUGCUGCCAUUUCCAAGCUCAUUCCCAUUCUCCCAAUCCCAUUCCCCCAUUUCUGUUCCCAUUCCCAAUCCCACAUUCCCGUUCCUGUUCCCGUCCCCACCCCACAUUCCCAAUCCCCAUCCCCCAUUCCCAAAUUCCCCAUUCCCAAUCCCCCAUUCCCAUUCCCCAUUCCCAAAUUCCCAUUCCCACCUCUCCGGNNNNNNNNNNCUCUCCGGGGCCGCUCCGUAGCCCCGUCCCGGCAGCCCUUCGGCCCCAUCCUGGCCGGCUCCCGGCUCCGGCCGCGGCUUCCCGGCGCCGCCCUCGGGGGCCCCGUCGGGCUCGGAGCCGCCCAAAUCCCAGGAAUUGGCGGCGCCGAAGCCGAAGGCGCCGGAGCCGUCCUGGCCGUAGCCGUAGCCCUGGAAGCCUGCGCCGCGCCGGGAAGGGGGAAUCACCCGGAAUUCCGCGCCCGGAAUUCCCCACCUGGAACUCCCCACCCGGAAUUCCCCACCCGGAACUCCCCACCCGGAAUUCUGUACCGGGAAUUCCCCACCCGGAAUUCCCCUCUGGGACUCACCAGGAAUUCCCCACCCGGAAUUCCGCACCCGGAAUUCCCC